RNAcentral lists this ribosomal RNA (526 nucleotides) under Raninoides crosnieri. RNAcentral's name for it is "partial large subunit ribosomal RNA". It matches the Rfam family "Bacterial large subunit ribosomal RNA", at positions 1828 to 2604 of the family's 2925-position model. The record is from RNAcentral. Lineage: Eukaryota; Metazoa; Arthropoda; Malacostraca; Decapoda; Raninidae.
GUUCUGUUUGUAGAUGUAAAGAGUCUGACCUGCCCGCUGAUUUAAUAAGUUGAAGGGCUGCGGUAUUUUGACCGUGCAAAGGUAGCAUAAUCAUUAGUCUUUUAAUUGAAGGCUUGUAUGAAGGGUUGGACAAGAAAGUAGCUGUCUCUAGAGUAAAUUUAAAAUUUAACUUUUAAGUGAAAAGGCUUAAAUGGGUUAGGGGGACGAUAAGACCCUAUAAAGCUUUACAUUUUGAUUAAUUGAUAUUGAUUUGUAAGUAGUAUAAGUAUUAAUUAAUUGAAUGUUAUGUUGGGGUGACAUAGGUAUAAUUAAUGUAACUGUUUAAUUGUUAUACAUAUUAGUUGAAUAAUAUUUAAUUGAUCCUAUUUAAAGAUUAAAAGGUUAAGUUACUUUAGGGAUAACAGCGUUAUUUUCUUUGAGAGUUCUUAUCGAAAAGAAAGUUUGCGACCUCGAUGUUGAAUUAAAAUAUCUUUACAAUGCAGUAGUUGUAAAAGAAGGUCUGUUCGACCUUUAAAUUUUACAUGAU